AUUUGGACAAACUACCAGAAGACACACUAAAAUGGAAGAUGAAACUCAUCAAACGGGCUGCGCAAUAUGCUAAUUGCCGUAUACAAUCAGUUACAGCUGAGGUGCUACUGCUAGCCAGCUGCGAUGACAACUUACUUCCGAGCAAAUCUGAAGCCUACAGGCUACAGAACAAAAUACCUAAAUC
Long non-coding RNA from Triticum aestivum (bread wheat), 184 nucleotides. RefSeq lists it as uncharacterized. The record is from RefSeq and is a predicted model, not a curated record. Lineage: Eukaryota; Viridiplantae; Streptophyta; Magnoliopsida; Poales; Poaceae. The transcript has 2 exons.